Molecule: long non-coding RNA, 379 nt
Filed under: Nicotiana benthamiana
Lineage: Eukaryota; Viridiplantae; Streptophyta; Magnoliopsida; Solanales; Solanaceae
Description: long non-coding RNA (NBEN_LNC006754)
Source: RNAcentral
AUCUAAUGCUGUUUUAGCUAGCAACCAAGAGAGCAUCACAGCUCCAAAGCCGCUUCGUGUUAGUUCAAACUUGGUCAACCGGCUAGAAGAUUUAUCUCAGCCUUGGACGCGUUCUCCCACAAAGUCCAAAAUGGAACCUGUCUUAGCAACAUGGCAUUUUGUCUCACUGGAUCCAGCGCUUGCUCAUGGCUCUGUUACUGACGUUUCCCCACAAAGUCCAAAAUGGAACCUGUCUUAGCAACAUGGCAUUUUGUCUCACUGGAUCCAGCACUUGCUCAUGGCUCUGUUACUGGUAUGUUUGUCUUACUGGGAACAAGCGGUGAUCUACAUGUCGUCAUCAAUUGUCCAUUUGUUUCAAUCCCGCUCAUAAAACAGCAAC